This 471-nucleotide ribosomal RNA is filed under the name uncultured bacterium. Its description in RNAcentral is "bacterial SSU rRNA". It matches the Rfam family "Bacterial small subunit ribosomal RNA", at positions 8 to 507 of the family's 1533-position model. The record is from RNAcentral.
AGAGUUUGAUCAUGGCUCAGGAUGAACGCUGGCGGCGUGCCUAACACAUGCAAGUCGAGCGAUUUACUUCGGUAAAGAGCGGCGGACGGGUGAGUAACGCUGGGUAACCUGCCCUGUACACACGGAUAACAUACCGAAAGGUAUGCUAAUACGAGAUAAUAUACUUUUAUCGCAUGGUAGAAGUAUCAAAGCUUUUGCGGUACAGGAUGGACCCGCGUCUGAUUAGCUAGUUGGUAAGGUAACGGCUUACCAAGGCGACGAUCAGUAGCCGACCUGAGAGGGUGAUCGGCCACAUUGGAACUGAGACACGGUCCAAACUCCUACGGGAGGCAGCAGUGGGGAAUAUUGCACAAUGGGCGAAAGCCUGAUGCAGCAACGCCGCGUGAGCGAUGAAGGCCUUCGGGUCGUAAAGCUCUGUCCUCAAGGAAGAUAAUGACGGUACUUGAGGAGGAAGCCCCGGCUAACUACGUG